Molecule: ribosomal RNA, 442 nt
Filed under: uncultured bacterium
Lineage: Bacteria
Description: partial 16S ribosomal RNA
Rfam family: Bacterial small subunit ribosomal RNA
Source: RNAcentral
CCUACGGGAGGCAGCAGUGGGGAAUAUUGGGCAAUGGGCGAAAGCCUGACCCAGCAACGCCGCGUGAAGGAAGAAGGCUUUCUGGUUGUAAACUUCUUUUGACAGGGAAGAGCAGCAGACGGUACCUGUCGAAUAAGCCACGGCGAACGACGAGCGCGCAGCCGAGGUGAUACGUAGGGGGCAAGCGUUGGCCGGAUUUUCUGGGUGUAAAGGGCGUGUAGCCGGGCUGACAAGUCAGAUGUGAAAUCCGGGGGCUCCACCCCCGAACUGCAUUUGAAACUGUUGGUCUUGAGUAUCGGUGAGGCAGUCGGAAUUCCUAGUGUAGCGGUGAAAUGCGUAGAUAUUAGGAGGAACACCAGUGGCGACGGCGGCCUGCUGGACGACAACUGACGGUGAGGCGCGAAAGCGUGGGGAGCAAACAGGAUUAGAUACCCUGGUAGUC